Molecule: long non-coding RNA, 643 nt
Organism: Cavia porcellus (domestic guinea pig)
Lineage: Eukaryota; Metazoa; Chordata; Mammalia; Rodentia; Caviidae
Exons: 2
Source: RefSeq, a predicted model, not a curated record
GCAGAUCUCUUCAUCUUUGUGAAGGUGAAAGCAGUGGGCUUCAAAAGAGAGCAAGCAGCUGAACGCAGACAACCAGCUGACACAGGGUGUGAAGCUCUGCGGGAGGAAUAAUGCUCCUCCGCCUUCCUGCGGGAUGCCUCCUUUCUCCUUUGAAGCUGCUGUCAGUUUUCAUCAGAUUCCACUCAUCUCCAGGUUUUAGACACCAAAGAAAAGCCAAAGUGGUGGUGUGGCAAGCUUGGGGGACAUUUCUGCUCAGAGAAGCGGCAGAGUAAGGGUGGAGUCCUGAGCCCAGAAGCCUGGAAAAGCUGCCAUCAAAUCCCAGCUUAACGGCAUGAGCUCCAGCUGGUCUUUCAGAUUUCUGAACAUCAGAGUUCUCUUAUGAAGAAUGAGAGUGAUUCACCGGGAUAUAAGGAUGCAGUGAGAUGAUACAGGCCAUGCCCUUUGCAGAAUGCAUGGAAAAGGCAUGAGAUAUGCACUCGGUUAAAUGGCGUGAUUUUUAUCAUCAGCAUGUCUGUUAUAAAUUAGCGUGACUAUUUUUUCUAAAGCUUAUUUUUGUGUCUGGGUAUGUAGGCUUAUCCCUUUUAUACUCACACUAAUACAUCCAUAUGCACAAAAUAAAUGCUCAAACUGGGAUCGUAUCGAG